This 460-nucleotide ribosomal RNA is filed under the name uncultured bacterium. RNAcentral's name for it is "bacterial SSU rRNA". It matches the Rfam family "Bacterial small subunit ribosomal RNA", at positions 29 to 532 of the family's 1533-position model. The record is from RNAcentral.
AACGAACGCUGGCGGCAGGCCUAACACAUGCAAGUCGAACGCUCUAGCAAUAGAGAGUGGCAGACGGGUGAGUAACGCGUGGGAACCUACCUAGUGGUACGGAAUAGCUCAGGGAAACUUGGGGUAAUACCGUAUGCGCCCGAAAGGGGAAAGAUUUAUCGCCAUUAGAUGGGCCCGCGUAGGAUUAGCUAGUUGGUGAGGUAAUGGCUCACCAAGGCAACGAUCCUUAGCUGGUUUGAGAGAAUGACCAGCCACACUGGGACUGAGACACGGCCCAGACUCCUACGGGAGGCAGCAGUGGGGAAUCUUGGACAAUGGGCGCAAGCCUGAUCCAGCCAUGCCGCGUGAGUGACGAAGGCCUUAGGGUUGUAAAGCUCUUUUGGCGGGGACGAUAAUGACGGUACCCGCAGAAUAAGCCCCGGCUAACUUCGUGCCAGCAGCCGCGGUAAGGCACGACUGU